GAGUGGCAAACGGGUGAGUAACACGUAAGUAACCUACCCCUAAGUAGGGGAUAACUCUGAGAAAUUGGAGCUAAUACCGUAUGUGGUGGUGGAGGUAAGGCUUCAUCACUAAAGCCUUAGGGCGCUUGGGGAGGGGCUUGUGUCCGAUUAGCUAGUUGGUAGGGUAAUGGUUUACCAAGGCGAUGAUCGGUAGCUGGUCUGAGAGGAUGAUCAGCCACACUGGGACUGAGACACGGCCCAGACUCCUAUGGGAGGCAGCAGCAAGGAAUUUUGUGCAAUGGGCGAAAGCCUGACACAGCGACGCCGCGUGAGGGAUGAAGGCCUUCGGGUUGUAAACCUCUUUUCUCAGGGAAGAAUAAUGACGGUACCUGAGGAAUAAGUCUCGGCUAACUACGUGCCAGCAGCCGCGGUAAUACGUAGGAGGCGAGCGUUAUCCGGAUUUACUGGGCGUAAAGAGGGCGUAGGCGGCUUUUCAAGUCGGGUGUAAAAUCUCCCCGCUUAACGGGGAGGGGUCAUCCGAUACUGUUAAGCUAGAGGGCAGCAGAGGGAGGUGGAAUUCCCGGUGGAGUGGUGAAAUGCGUAGAUAUCGGGAGGAACACCAGUGGCGAAGGCGGCCCCCUGGGCUGUUUCUGACGUUGAGGCCCGAAAGCGUGGGGAGCGAACAGGAUUAGAUACCCUGGUAGUCCACGCUGUUAACGAUGGAUACUAGGUAUAGGGAGUAUCGACCCUCUCUGUGCCGAAGCUAACGCG
This 750-nucleotide ribosomal RNA is filed under the name uncultured bacterium. RNAcentral's name for it is "bacterial SSU rRNA". It matches the Rfam family "Bacterial small subunit ribosomal RNA", at positions 93 to 859 of the family's 1533-position model. The record is from RNAcentral.